GUUGAUUCAUCUUGAUGGGCAAUGAAUCCACCACCUUCAGUGCGAAUACACAACGGCUGCCCUCCAGUGGAAAUUUCAAAGCAGCAAGCACGGAGGCCGUGGAUGGGGACUGCGGAUAGUUGAUGCUAGCUGUAGUGAAUUAUUUAGAAUGAACUUCAUGAGGGAAUAAAUAUACUGUGCAGCAGCAGUCAGAACGGCCAAGUCCUUAAACAAAUGUCUACUAGAUGAUCAUGAGUGAGCGCCACAUAUUAUUCUUACAGCACGUUUUUGAGCAAUAAAGACUUUUGUUUCUUAAAGGAACAAACAAUGGCUCUGCAAUGCGGUCAAACAUAAGAAGAAUGUUUUGAGGAUCACUGAAUGAUAAGGAACUUGAUUGUGACUGCGAGAGGCUGAGCCGACCUCUAGCGGUGUUUAGUGAUAAUGUCUGCGAC
This is a long non-coding RNA of Schistocerca cancellata (South American locust), 431 nucleotides long. RefSeq lists it as uncharacterized. The transcript has 3 exons. NCBI's taxonomy places the organism in Eukaryota, Metazoa, Arthropoda, Insecta, Orthoptera, Acrididae. The record is from RefSeq and is a predicted model, not a curated record.